Molecule: long non-coding RNA, 395 nt
Organism: Macadamia integrifolia
Lineage: Eukaryota; Viridiplantae; Streptophyta; Magnoliopsida; Proteales; Proteaceae
Exons: 2
Source: RefSeq, a predicted model, not a curated record
GACGAUCAACUGACGAAGGUAGUGAGAAUCCGUCUGAAGUAUGAGAUGAUCUUGCAGGUUAUCCGAUUAAGGAGUUAGAGUCGAGACCCACUGUGGAGUUUCCAGUUGGGGACAGAUGGAUCCUUAAAGAUCUUAGGCACGAAGCUGAGUGCCCGUGUAAGAGUUUUGUUACGAGACAGCAACACUGAUACCUACAUAGGAUUCUUUUUUAUUAUUUUGGAAAUAUUACCCCUUUUGUGCUCUAGAUAUUUAAAUUAUAUUUCUUGUGUAUAUAUCACACCGGCGGGCCCAAAUGUAAAUGUAUUAUGUAAUACAAUUUGGGUAUCAAGAUUAUUAGCGUAUUUACAGGUAUGUACAUGUAAGACUUCCGUUGAAAUGCAGGAUUUCCUUGACUC